This 253-nucleotide ribosomal RNA is filed under the name uncultured bacterium. RNAcentral describes it as "partial 16S ribosomal RNA". It matches the Rfam family "Bacterial small subunit ribosomal RNA", at positions 524 to 776 of the family's 1533-position model. The record is from RNAcentral.
UACGUAGGUGGCAAGCGUUGUCCGGAAUUAUUGGGCGUAAAGCGUACGCAGACGGUGAGAAAGGUCGGAUGUGAAAGCCCCGGGCUCAACCCGGGAACUGCAUCCGAAACCAUCUCGCUAGAGUAUGGGAGAGGGAAGCGGAAUUCCUGGUGUAGAGGUGAAAUUCGUAGAUAUCAGGAGGAACAUCUGCGGCGAAGGCGGCUUCCUGGCCCAUUACUGACGUUCAGGUACGAAAGCGUGGGUAGCAAACAGG